Molecule: ribosomal RNA, 517 nt
Filed under: uncultured bacterium
Lineage: Bacteria
Description: bacterial SSU rRNA
Rfam family: Bacterial small subunit ribosomal RNA
Source: RNAcentral
AGAGUUGAUCAUGGCUCAGGAUGAACGCUAGCUACAGGCUUAACACAUGCAAGUCAGGGGCAUCAGGGAGAAAGCUUGCUUCUUGCUGGCGACCGGCGCACGGGUGAGUAACGCGUAUCCAACCUCCCCUUAGUAGGGCAUAGCCCGGCGAAAGUCGGAUUAAUACCCUAUGUUAUCCGAAGAGGACAUCUGAAUUGGAUUAAAGAUUUAUCGCUAAGGGAUGGGGAUGCGUCUGAUUAGGUAGUCGGCGGGGUAACGGCCCACCGAGCCUACGAUCAGUAGGGGUUCUGAGAGGAAGGUCCCCCACAUUGGUACUGAGACACGGACCAAACUCCUACGGGAGGCAGCAGUGAGGAAUAUUGGUCAAUGGGCGCGAGCCUGAACCAGCCAAGUAGCGUGCAGGAAUGACGGCCCUAUGGGUUGUAAACUGCUUUUAUGCGGGGAUAAAGUGCGGCACGUGUGCCGUUUUGUAGGUACCGCAUGAAUAAGGACCGGCUAAUUCCGUGCCAGCAGCUGC